This is a non-coding RNA of Oncorhynchus mykiss (rainbow trout), 1088 nucleotides long. The record is from RefSeq and is a predicted model, not a curated record. NCBI's taxonomy places the organism in Eukaryota, Metazoa, Chordata, Actinopteri, Salmoniformes, Salmonidae.
AUUUUUUUUCAAAAGCUCUCAGCUGUGCCUGCCUGUCAGGGACGAAGGCAUCUAAAGCAGGGCAGGCUUACCAGUGAAUUGCAAUCAAUAUCCACAAACUUCUCCCUCCAUAGGAGAAAAAGGUCAACACAGGACACAACAGAUCCAGAACAACAUCAUCUGAGUGUCUUAGCAUGUCAUAUGAAGGUAUUUUGUCCAUCCAAAGUUUGAAGGAGGUUGAGAACCCAUGGAAAGGCAUUACUCUGAACCGUUGCAUAGUGUUGGCCAUCAUCAUUGUGCUUGUGAGCUCAGGGGUGAAUGAAGUACAUGAUGCACUGGAAGUAUUUCUAGAGGAGAAUGAUCUUACUCAGAUGUUACUUGGAGGCACAGAUCCACAGCCAGAUGGCACAGCUCAGCUUGCCGAGUUGGGGAUAAGACCAUGGAACAAAAGGAAAACCAGAGAGAAGAGGGGGAGUCUUGAGGAUCAGAAAUAGAGAUGCCUGACAAAGGGCUGUGAAGGAAUGAUAGAGAGCAUGAUGGAGAAUGGUAAAGAGGCUAAUACAACAAAUAGGCUGACAUUUUCAGAAAGAAUAAUCACAUAAUGUCAGUUUGCCCAGUGCUUAUUCUAUCAAAGUAUAUAUAUAUAUAUAUAUAUAUAUAGUUUACUACUGUAGAAAGAACCAAUUUAUAGAACAAUUACCAAACAUCAAAUACAAUUUUACUUGUCACAUGCACCAAAUAUAACAGGGGUAGACUUUACAGCAAAAUGCUUACUUACGGGCUCUUUCCCAACAAUGCAGUCAAAAAGUCACACAUACUUCACAAUGAUUUUAAAUUAGACCUAUACACAGUCUUAUAUGAUCAUGCAUAAAUGUCUGCAUAAAUGUUUUUCAUAUUUAAAGGGCACACAAAAAUCAAUAAAUGAAUAACAUUUGCUGGUUCCCAGCUCAUUCAAUUAAAUAUUAUUUUAGCCUUUAAUAUGCCUUUUCAUUGGAUGCAAAUUGAUAAUUAUCAAAUGGUAUUUGAAAGAUCCAAUAUGUGCACUGUGCCAUUGAGUUUGCAAUUGACAUUGAUGAGUAACAAAAAUUGUAUUAAAAUGUAAAAUCAGC